RNAcentral lists this long non-coding RNA (3674 nucleotides) under Equus caballus (horse). Its description in RNAcentral is "lncRNA (ENSECAG00000050312.1)". The record is from RNAcentral. Lineage: Eukaryota; Metazoa; Chordata; Mammalia; Perissodactyla; Equidae.
GCCAUCUCACUGGGGGAAAUCAUUUUUCUCACUUACAGAGGGAGAAAUAGUAAACACCCCAAGAUCCAAAAGCUUUAUUUCCCACACAAGCUGAAAAUCCUAUGCUGAGCGGACUAGGCAGAAGUUUCAAGUGGAAAUAAUCACUAAGAUUCCUGCUCUUCUUUGGAAGCCUAGAAAAGGUAUUCUGCUCUGUUCUUAACCUCUCCCGGUGAUGAUGCUAAAAGCAUGAAAGCUGUAGUCCUUGGAACACACACACAUAGCUGUUUUUGUAUAUGAUUGGGGCAAAAGCUGCUGUGAUUAAAUAUGGAGUAUUUCAUCUGUUUUGAGAAAAAAUUUCUUGGUUUAUGUUUAACUUUACAAUUGUUUGCUCAAAUUAAUCGUUUUUGUUUCUUUAGAAAAACAGUUUCUUGUGCUAAAUGAUUCCAUCAGUUGAUGGAAAUGGAUUGGUAUAUAUGUAUCACAAGUAUGAAUUUUACAAAAGACAGCUGUAUAUGUUCAUUAAGGAAAAAAAGAGACACGAAGCAUUUUUGUUUGUAAUUUCUUAGGGAAAAUGAUUAAAGCAAGCCGAGUUCAAGAACUUGCUUAUUCCUUUCUUCCUGUAACAUCCUCUAGUCUGUCUGAUGCACUACGGGAUAGUGACGUAAAUAGCCAGCUACCCAAAUUCGCAUGUUCCAAUCUCAGCUCUGUUACUUAUGGCCAGGUGACUUCAAGCAGGUCACUCAGCUUUUCCAAGUCCCUGUCUCCACACCUGUAAAGAGGAUUUAAAAUAGUAUCUACCUCAUAGGAUGAGUGUGAAGAUUAAACCAGAUCAUAAAAGUAAAAUUAGUAUUGUUAGGAUAUUUCAAGGAUCUCACCAGUUUAAUGCAGAAACUACCUCUUACCUUUAGAAGGAAUGUUUGUCUUGAUUAUAGAGAACAGUUCCUAGUAGUGUUGACUGAACUUGGAUCUUUCUUGAGAAGUAUCAGACAUUAAAAUUCACAACUGCUUUUGAAAAGUAGAAUGCGUUUUUUGUUUCUUUAUGAGCACUAAAAAAAUACAGUGCAUCUUCCUUAAGAAAUAUUGAGCCUUAUCAACUGUGAUAUAAUCUAAUUAAUACACUUGGGUUUUUUUUUCCCAUCUUGCUUUAGAUCUUAGAGUCAUGGAGUGUGAGUGCUAAAUGGAGCCUUAAAGAGUAUCUUUUCAGGUGUAGCUGACAUAUGUAAGCCUUCACAAGGAGGAAGUCCCAUGAAGACAAUACCUCUCUUGCUACCCCACCCCUGUCUCUGUCUCUCUUUCUCCUCUGACAACUGCACUCUCCCUAGAUAAGAAAGAGAUUCUAUCACCCUCCUCCUCACCACCCAGUCCCUUCCUGCAUCCUACACACUCUAGGUGCCUCAGUUCUGGACUAGAUGCUGAUGGAGAUUCUUCAACUCAGGUGUUGCUGCAUUUAGAGGAGGAGGAUUUGGAUUCUAGUCAACGAGAGGAAGCAAAUUUAGCGGCUCCAUUUCAUUUUGGUCUACUUAUCAGCUAAAGUUGUGCUUUAUUUUCUUGAUGAUUUGCCCUGGAAGCAAGAACACUUUGCCAGGAUGAGCAUUCAUCUUUGGGGAGACAACACAGUCUGAUCUCAUAAGAUGAAAAGAUACUCCUUUUGAUAUCAAGAUCUCAUUUGAUGUUGCCUCUUGUGAAAACAUUAUUUAACAACUUUAAUAACAUAAGCUGCUGGCUGUGGGUGGCUCUUUUUGUCACUCUGGAGAAUCAGAAGCAGCUUGAGGAGGACAGAGAGCAGGGAUUUUCCUGCUUUGUUAAAUCCCACAUCCCUUGCACAUAGAACAGGGCAAGGCACAAAGAAUAGCUCAAUAUAUAUUGGUUGACAUAAUGUAUUCAUUUAUCUUCCAAAGCUUCCAUCCUGCCCUCCACCACUCAUCCUUCAACACACACACACACACACACACACAAACAAACAAACACACACACAGUUUGGAUCUUUCUUUGCAGGGGUAGCAGGCCAGAGGUUCUUAGGCCCAGGCUGCUUUUGGGUCUGGUGACCAUUUUUUGGAUACAGAGCAGUACAUCAUUUGCUUUAUGGCUGAAGUCUCCUGCUAGUGUUACCAAUGGACCAUACCUAGUUGGACAUCAGCUGGCAAGGGAGCUUGAAAAUAUCACUUAAAGGGAAGAUGGGAAAUGAAUCUGAGAAUAAACAGGUACCUGAGAUGGCCUGUGCAGCUCCAUUUCUUAUGUCCUGUGUUCAAGACAAAGAGAAGAGGGAAGGACCAGGCCAAUCAUUUAUGUCUCUAUUUAUCAGAGAAACUAAUUUUUAUUUUCCAGAAUAUGCCUGGUUGACUUCCACCUGGGUUCUCACUGGUCUGGACUGAAAGGCUGAGAAACCGGGAAAAGAAUGGUCAUAACUGUCAGAGACCAAUUACGGUUCCCCAUCUGAAGUUGUGCAUAAUGUUAUUGUAAGCAAAACAGGGUUUCAGAUGGCAGCUAAGAGUAGAGAAUGGAAAGUGGGUACGUACUAACAGUGUCUGCUAGAGUCAGAGGUCUUCUGGACUCCCACUCCUUGCUGACUUGCUUCUGGCUUCAAAGCUUCAGAGCAGCUCGCAAUCCUGGGGAUCACUGAAUUUCACUCCUUGGCCAGUCUCUGUUAGAUAGCUCACUAUUUGCUCAUAACUUAGUUUAUGUUUGAAUCACUAAUACUUAUCUGUAACACACUGACCUUCCGUACUGGAUGUGCUGUCUUCUGGUUUUGUUUACAUAGGACUCACUGAAUAAGCAUUCACACAUAUUUAUUCAGCAUCUAUCCUGUACCAGGCACUGUGCUAAGGAAGUUGAGAUACAUCAGUGAACAAAACUGGCAAAUAUUGUUAACUCUUGUAGAGUUUAUAUUCUGGUGAGGAGAGACAGACAAUUAAAAGUAAACAUAGUCUGUUAGAAGGACUUUUCUCUUUUAAGAGUAUCAAAUGAUUUUAAGCCAUUUACUGAUUAUUCACUUUUCUAAGAAACACAAACACGAGAAUAAAAUAAAUGUAUCCAAAACCUACUAGCCCUUGCAGGAUAGGAAAAAGCCCUGAGCAGAAAGCCUGCAAAUAUUUUUCCUUAUGCCUAACAUAUGUGCUUUCUCACCUGUUCUAGGGUCCCACGUUUUGUUACCUCUGACAGUGGAAAGGCAACUGUAGCUCCAAGAUUCAUGUACAAGAGGGUCUCAAAACCCUUAAAGCUAUUUGAAGCUAAUGGUUUGUACAUUCUAGUUUACAACUCUGAGAAACAAUAUCAAACAAGCAUUGUCAACUCCUAGUGCUAUGGAAAAAACUCUUAAGUACCAUGGACAAAAACAGACAGAGCAAAGGGAAGAGGAUUGGAAGUUCCAGGGCGGUCAUAGCUGCAAUUUUAUAUAGAAUGUCCAGGUGGGGAUCUUUUGUGCUACAGCCUCAUCUGGUUUUUACUGGCGUGCUUCUAUUUCUUCUUUAAAAAUUCAGGCUGGCUUUUCUCAUAGUUGGGGAUCCUCACACUUUCCCUGGAUCUGGGUAAAAGCCAUGGAAGUUUUUUUGAUUCAGAGUUCCUCUGUCUUUCAAACAGUAAUAAUUCUCUGUUCUUCGAAGCUAGGAUUUAUGUGUUGUUUUGUUCCAGGUCGCUGAAGAGAGCGUAUUAAACAGCUAAAUCAUUCAGGAUUAAAAAAAAAUAAAUCUGCUUUUGCC